GACGAACGCUGGCGGCGUGCCUAAUACAUGCAAGUCGAGCGGACUUUCAAGAAGCUUGCUUUUUGAAAGUUAGCGGCGGACGGGUGAGUAACACGUGGGCAACCUGCCUGCAAGACGGGGAUAACUCCGGGAAACCGGGGCUAAUACCGGAUAAUAUCUUUCUUCGCAUGAAGGAAGGUUGAAAGGCGGCGCAAGCUGCCGCUUGCAGAUGGGCCCGCGGCGCAUUAGCUAGUUGGUGAGGUAACGGCUCACCAAGGCGACGAUGCGUAGCCGACCUGAGAGGGUGAUCGGCCACACUGGGACUGAGACACGGCCCAGACUCCUACGGGAGGCAGCAGUAGGGAAUCUUCCGCAAUGGACGAAAGUCUGACGGAGCAACGCCGCGUGAGCGAAGAAGGUCUUCGGAUCGUAAAGCUCUGUUGUCAGGGAAGAACAAGUACCGUUCGAACAGGGCGGUACCUUGACGGUACCUGACCAGAAAGCCACGGCUAACUAC
RNAcentral lists this ribosomal RNA (496 nucleotides) under uncultured Bacillota bacterium. RNAcentral describes it as "bacterial SSU rRNA". It matches the Rfam family "Bacterial small subunit ribosomal RNA", at positions 28 to 504 of the family's 1533-position model. The record is from RNAcentral. Lineage: Bacteria; Bacillati; Bacillota.